AAAGGAAUUGACGGGGACCCGCACAACCAGUGGAGCGUGUGGUUCAAUUCGAGACAAAGCGAAGGACCUCACCAGGGUUUGACAUGUUAUCGUUUUAACCACCCAGAAAUGGGAGGCUAUCCGCAAGGAUGAUAGCACAGCUGCUGCAUGGCUGUCGUCAGCUCGUGCCGUGGGGUGUUCCCUUAAGUGGGACAACGAGCGCAACCCCUAUCCAAUGUUACAAGUGUCAUUGGAGACCGCCCACUCUCAGAGUACAGAACUGUUUUUCUGUAUUGUGAGAGUGGGAGGAAGGAGGGGACGACGUCAAGUCAGCACGGCGCUUAUGCCCUGGGCCACACACACCCUACAAUGGCGAAUAACAACGGGACGCAAGGUAGUAAUGCCAAGCAAAUCUCUUAAAUUUCGCCUCAAUUCAGAUUGAGGUCUGCAACUCGACCUCAUGAAGUUGGAAUUGGUAGUAAUCGCGGAUCAGCAGGCCGCGGUGAAUACGUUCUCGGGUCUUGUACACACCGCCCGU
Molecule: ribosomal RNA, 517 nt
Filed under: uncultured bacterium
Lineage: Bacteria
Description: bacterial SSU rRNA
Rfam family: Bacterial small subunit ribosomal RNA
Source: RNAcentral